UGAAAGGCCAGAAGCCUUCCCUUAUGGGAGACCGUUGUCUGAUGUACUAGACCAGACUCUUAGAUUGAACUUUGAUUGUGUAAUAAAUCUGUUCUCUCUUUCAAACAGGUCUGGUACAGGGAAACCUGAUAAUCCUGCAUGUAACAUAUACACUGGGGAAGAAGCAGACCCUGUAAACCCCUCCUGCCAGCUCUGCACUGAGGAGGCAACGGGCUCAUUUCUGCUGCGGAGGCUAGCCUCUGCAACGUGAGUAAAUUGAAUAUAACCGUAUAAUGGUCGUGUCAUUUACGCAAAAGACCGAGGAGCACCAGCUGGAACGGAGGGAAUGAGAGUGCUGCCAACCUCCUUCAGGAUGAACGCUCCUCAGAGUCCUUGGUGAGUGAGAAUUUCUCAGGUCAUUUAAUGCAGCUCCAACCCAUGGCACUUACCUCCACACCUUCCCUUGCUUUUGCAGAUUUGGUCCUGGAGUGCAAUGCAGACCGAGGGCCUGCUCUCCGACGAGCGUGCUGCACUCCCUGCCCGUCUGCAGGGCCCAUUAGUGGUAAUGAGGUGGCUGUCUGCAGCCUCUCCCCGUGCCCGCAAAAGGAAAAUCAAACCCUUUCCUCUGUAUGGUCCCCACAGUGGAUUCAGUAACUGUAGACAGGCACACUUUCAGAGUGGAGAUUCCCAGAUUUUACUGCGUGAAGCCACUAAAAUAAAAACUGCAAGCGUUUGUCUCAAGUCAAAAGACGUGGCAUAA
Molecule: long non-coding RNA, 739 nt
Filed under: Anser brachyrhynchus (Pink-footed goose)
Lineage: Eukaryota; Metazoa; Chordata; Aves; Anseriformes; Anatidae
Description: lncRNA (ENSABRG00000005137.1)
Source: RNAcentral